This 253-nucleotide ribosomal RNA is filed under the name uncultured bacterium. Its description in RNAcentral is "partial 16S ribosomal RNA". It matches the Rfam family "Bacterial small subunit ribosomal RNA", at positions 524 to 776 of the family's 1533-position model. The record is from RNAcentral.
UACGUAGGGCGCAAGCGUUGUCCGGAAUUAUUGGGCGUAAAGAGCUCGUAGGCGGUUUGUUGCGUCUGUCGUGAAAGCCCACAGCUUAACUGUGGGUCUGCGGUGGAUACGGGCAGACUAGAGGCAGGUAGGGGAGAAUGGAAUUCCAGGUGUAGCGGUGAAAUGCGUAGAUAUCUGGAGGAACACCGGUGGCGAAGGCGGCAUCCUGGACCGAGAUUGACGCUGAGGCGCGAAAGCCAGGGGAGCAAACGGG